RNAcentral lists this transfer RNA (73 nucleotides) under Camelus dromedarius (Arabian camel). It matches the Rfam family "tRNA". Rfam says of the family: Transfer RNA (tRNA) molecules are approximately 80 nucleotides in length. Their secondary structure includes four short double-helical elements and three loops (D, anti-codon, and T loops). The record is from Rfam by way of RNAcentral. RNAcentral also lists the same sequence under 1 other name. Lineage: Eukaryota; Metazoa; Chordata; Mammalia; Artiodactyla; Camelidae.
GAGGGUACAGCUCAAGUGGUAGAGUGCAUGCUUAGCAUUCACAAGGUCCUGGGUUCAAUCCCCAGUACCUCCU